This 4386-nucleotide long non-coding RNA is filed under the name Sus scrofa (pig). RNAcentral describes it as "lncRNA (ENSSSCG00065062845.1)". Lineage: Eukaryota; Metazoa; Chordata; Mammalia; Artiodactyla; Suidae. The record is from RNAcentral.
AUGGCCGCUUUUUUUCCCCUAGGGCCGCAGCCACAGCAAAUGGAGAGUCCCUGGCUAGGGGUCGAAUCAGCGCUGUAGCCUCUGGCCUAUGCCACAGCCACAGCAACACAGGAUCUGAGCUGCGUCUGCAACCUACACCACAGCUCACAGCGACACCAGAUCCUUAACCCACUGGAUCCUAGCCAGAUUUGUUUCCGCUGUGCCACGACAGCGGAAACAAAUGACAAUAUUUUUACAUUGAGUCAUAUAAAGCCCCUAAGCCAAGGUCCCUAGUGGCAGGAAGGCAGUCAUUUUCAGCAGAAGGCUUCGCCUAACAGUGGCCAGGCCUGAAAUGCCAGCAGGAGAGGAACAUUCUGGGAGAUGCUGGGGGGCUGAGCUGAGUAGGCAGUUCAUCUGUGGAGGGCAGGUUCCAAUGCCACGCCUUCGGGGGUCUUCUGUGGUCCCUGCAACUCCAUAGGAUGCUUCUGUCCCCUUCACCGCUCGUCCCAUGUCAUCCCACUCUCAUUACUGUCACCACUGGCCUCAUCUCUCUCACCAGGCUGUGAACUCCCCAAGGACAGUGACUUCAGCCAAGUGACACAGAGAAGCUGUCCAGUAAAUAUUCGCUGAAUGCACCAACAGUCCGGCACCCAGCGAGGCGUGGGCGCAUACUUAUUGAAGGGAAUAACAGUAAUUGAACAGAAAGGAUCUUCUGCCUUAGAAUCACGCUCCCCUGGGUUUUGGGCACGAAGCAAGUCCUGGGUGAGUGUGCAUUGCCUCGGCGGAGCGGGCGGAGCCUCCCGGCCUCCCAGCCUGCUGCGUGAUGUUAAGAAUUUCGUAACCUUUCAGAAGAAUGCCAGGAUUUCUCCAUGUAUCAGUAAAGAGGAAAAAAAGGUAGGGAAUGGUUUUCUGGGUCUGGGAGGAUUGACCUGGGAAUUGAGGGGUCGGGGAGAGAGGAGAUGGUACACAGAAGAGCCCCCAGGGAUUCGCAGGUGUCUAGGAGGGCGGGUAGGGGGGCGGGAAGAGUAGGAGCCAAUGGAAAUCUGCGAAAAAGCAGGCUGCGUGGGGGCGCGGGUCAGCCCCAGCAUCUCCGCCCAAUGCCACUCCCCCUCACUGCGCUUCAGCCCUGGCUUCCAGCAGCUGGCGGCGCCCAGAGGGACAUUUGUCCAAAUCCUCCCUCUCUCCCAGAACUGGGCGGGCAGAAUCCCAGGCCAGCCCCGUUUCCCUCUGGGCUCAGGGAGCGCCACGGAGUGCUCACACGACCUGGGACGUGAGAUCACCUAGCCACAUUUUAAGUUCUACAGGUGGGUAAAUGGUUUGGUUUUUUUUUUUUUUUUUUUUUAAUGGCUGCACCCACACCAUAUAGAAGUUUUCAGGCCAGGAUCAAACCCGCUCCUCCGCAGCAACCCAAGCCACUGCAGUUGGAUUCUUAACCCUCUGUGCCACAGCGGGAACUCCCCAGGUGUGUAAAUUUUAAAUAAAGAAGUGAGAGACCAACCUAAAGUUGCCAGCUUUUUAUUUUGCUUGGUAAAGAUUUAAAAAAGAACUAGCAAAACGUUCUAUUUCUUGAUCUGGGUGAUGGUUAUAGAGUGUGAACUUGGUGGAAACAGAUCAAGCUGGACACUUGUGAGCAAGAUGAUUCUAUGUGUUAGACUUUGUAAAAAGUUUAUGCAAAGAAUUACCAUGUACUAUCACACCAUCAUUUCAUCUUUAUGAAUAGACUUUCUUGGCAGUCCCGUCGUGGCUCAGUGCUUAACGAAUCCGACUAGGAACCACGAGGUUGUGAGUUCGAUCCCUGCCCUUGCUCAGUGGGUUAAGGAUCCGGCAUUGCUGUGAGCUGUGGUAGCUGAGAGAGGCUGAGGACCAAGAUGGCAAUCAGUAGCCCCUGCUCCCCUGUUGCCUGAGGGAAGGAUGCCUGGUGCUGGGGUCACAGCCGGCAGGCACCCUGAGUACCUGGAACAGAGCAGUCAGACCUUUACCAGAAAGGGGCGCUGCAGACUGAGGGGACCUUGGUUAGAGACCCCGGCCAGUCUGCCUCUCUGCUAACUUUUGGGAACCUCACCCCACCUUCCGCCAAACUCUCACAUGAAGGCCCAGAGAGAGGAGGCAAUUUCCCCAAAGUCACACAGCACGUUAGUGAAGAAUUGGGGUUAGAACCUGGGUCUCCGGCCUGCAGCCCUGUGCUCUCCCCACCCCUCCUGGCUCUGGGCUCCUGGCAGUCGCCUUUGCUGACCCCAAAAGCGGCUCACAGGUCCUGCGAUGCUGCCGUGAACUCUUCAGGGCUCCGGCUCUGGUGGUCAGAGAUAGGGGAGUGCUGGGCUGCAGGGGAUCGAGUUACCUGCUUGGAGUGGGUCCUCCGGGGAGUCAGCCGCUCUCCAGCUUGGCAGGAAGACGACUUGGCGAGGCUGGGCUCAUCGAAGAUGCCAGGGCUUCUACAAUGGAGGGCUUCAGCCAUCCAGCACCUCCUUAGGGGCUGCUGUCACCAACCUCAACCUGACACCCUGGCUCUGGGCAGAGGAUGGCGGGGGUGGGUACUGGGGGAGGCGGUUCAGAAGGCUCUGCCAGGCAGGGGAGGGAAGGGCGUGGGGGGCUUGGCCUCUGCAAGACGGCUUCUUUUCCUCCUCGAGGGCUUUGCUCAGGCCAUGCCUUUUUCCUGCUGCUCUUUCCUCUUAGACACAAAGCCUCUUUGACUGGGGACCCGAGGCCGGGUCUACUCUCUGGGCCUUCGUCGCCUAACCUGUGAAACAGCCAGUUGUGAGCAUGGGAAUCUCUCUCGGGGUCCUGUCUGCAGACACUGAGCCCCUCUGGUCCGCUCUGUGGCGGGUGGGUUCCCAGAUGAGGAUAUGGAUCCUUGGCAGCCCGGGUGGCAAAUUCCUCCCCCCCAGCGGAGGGGUAGGGACCCUUAAUUUCUCUUCCAUGUGGCAGAGUGCCUCCAAGCAGGAAGAAAACCCAGGUAGCCAUGUGUUCCAGGCACCUGGAAGGUCUCAAAUAAUCUUUGUUGAAUGGAUGAAAGAAUAUUAAGGUUUAGCGUGAGGUUAUUUUUUUAAAAACUUGCCACUGCGUAAAAAUAGAGAAUCAAAGAGCUAGUCCAGCUGCUCUCAUUUGACAGAAGAGGAAAUGGGCCCCCCUUAAACGCCUUUCUUGCCGGAGGCGGCACGGGGAACACGUGGGCCAGCAGGUGUCCUGAGCCCAGCUCUCUGAGCACCGCUUUUCUGACGGGUGAGAGCCCAUCGAGGCUCAGGGCUCGGGACUCCACAAACAGCCACCCCCCUCCACCCUCAACGCUGCAGCUUCCAGGGACACUGACAGAGGGCACCCUGAGCUUCCUGAACGGUCCUGUCAUCCCUUGGGCUGGUUGCUCCAGGCCACCCCCCUUCUUUUGCAUUUCCCCCAACUUCCUCAGCCUCUGCUGUGAGCUGGGUGACUUGAGCAGGUCGCUCAGCUUCUCUGGGUUUGCAUCAUGACAUUGAGAGAAGCCUGACUGCCCCUGCAGGGCGGCUGUGAGGGUCACAAGCUCCAGCAGAGAAGGCGUCUGAUAAAGCCCACAUUUGUAGGACACCGGCACCGCUGCCCUCGACUCUUUGCCAGACAUGUGUGACACACGGGGUCACUGCCUGCACAAAGCAGAGGAGGGCUUAGACAGAGAUUAGAUUCACAGGCAGGGCUCGUCUAGUUAGAAUUCUGGCCCUACCACCGACUCACUAUGUGGCCUUGAGCAAGACACUUAACCUUCCCAGGACUCUCUUUUCUUAUCUGUGAAAUGGAAAUAAUAGUACCUACCUUGCUGGAUUGCUGAGAGGACUAAACACGAGCCCUAUAAACCAGUCUUGGCAUAGGGUAGGUGCCCAGUGAAGGGCAGCCUUCGUGCAUUUCUUUCUCCACAAAGUGCCCAGCGGGCUGGUACUGUGAGCCCCUCUCAACCCCAGGCGCCCCAGUUAGCACGGGCCCCCGGUGCCUAGGAAGCCCUCAGGUCAGGGCUAUGGAAUCCUAUCUGGUCUAACCAGGAGAACCAAAAUAAAGAGGAACGAGGAGGCCCCGAGUUGGGGAGUGUGGAGCAGGGGUGCUGUGCUCGGCGGGCAGCCAGCAGGCCUGGCCCUGAGCCCCCGGCAAUCACCUUUCUAAAUCAGAUCCUUCCCUCCAAGCAAGCGGGCCGGCAGGCCCUGGCGGAGGCCCUGGCCAGGCACAGCAGAACCUUUGUGAGCUCUUGGCUCUCCCCACAGCCCCCCUGCUCACCCUUGUCAUCGCCUGUAAGGAACCCUGGGGCCGGGGCUCCAGGCCGGGGAGCAGCCCCCAGGCUCUGGCUCCCAUCACCUCUAGCAAUCUCUCCCGGCCUGAGCCUGGCCUUCAAGGCCCCAGGGUCUGGUCUCAGCCCCUCCCCCAGUGACAUCGCCCCCAGGACCCCAUCUC